AGUCAUUCAUUUUUCAAAAAUCACUGAUCAGUUAAUCCAAAGGCAUCCUGAAACACCAAAGACGUGUUUCUGUGGCUGUUUUGGGAACAGAAGUAUGUAUUUCUUUGGGGAUUACUUGUCUUUUCAGCUGAGUUGAGAACUUAAUGGUAGUUUCCCUUUGAUCCCAAAAGAGUUCAUGCUGUUCUUGAAGACAGGGAUGUGUUUUACUCACGCUUCCUUUUUGCCCCUGUCUAGCUCACUCUAGCACAGUGAUGUUAUAGGACAUCAUAAAUGUUUACUGUUCAGUUGGAUUGGACUGAAAUACUGACAUGAAAAUGAAGGAGGGAUCAUUUUACUUGUUUUUCUGUCAGGGUUUGCAUUAUAUGCUGUGAAGAUUGGUAGGAGUAGCCACAGGAAAAUCAUUGUAGAAAAUGAGAGAUUAUCCUGAGGUUAAUGAGUGAUAGGGAAUUAUCUUAAGAAAUAACAAUGAUCAUAUUAAUGGCUGACAUUUCAUUGUCUCAUUUAGCUAUUAUCCUAAGAAGAAGGUACUAUAAUCCCCAUUUUACAGGUGAGGAUACCCAAAACUGAGUGAGGUUAAGUAACUUGUCAAAGUCAUGCCGCUUAUAGAUGCACACCUGGAAUUUGGACUCAGUGGUCUAUAAUAAUUGUUCAGAGUUAAGGCUGUGCAGUCAGAUGGCCAGGAUUUCAAUCCCUGCUUCUCCACCUACCAGCUGAGUGACCUCUGGUAAGUUACUCAACUUUUGCCUCAGAUUUUUUGUUGUUUUGUUUUUCUGAGAGUAAAACAAAUAGUGAACCUACCUUAAAGGCCUGCUGUGAAGAGUACAAUAUAUAAUAGAGUUACCUGUAACUUAUUUCAUACAUAAUAACUGAAAUAAGUGCUUGAUACAUGUUGGCUGCUGUUGUUGUUGGCAGUUAUUAUUUCAGACAAAGCAUAUCAUUCUUUCAGUCGCUAUGCCCGUCUUAUCAAGUCUCGUGAUAUUUUUGAGAGCAUGUUAAACUUAAAAUAGUUUAUUGUACUUAACUUUUGUUGUUGUUAUUAACUUACAUGGAUUAUUGAGCACUUAUUCCACGUUGGUGUUUUUUGGUUGUUUUUAAUCUUCUAUGACUAUUUAAAGUUAAUUUGGGUAUCUUUUUAACCUCCAAAGUCAUUUGGGCAUCUGCUGUAUGUCAUGCACCCAUACAGGACCUGGAUAGAGGGAUGAAUACAACAGGACUCCUGUGUUGAAGGAGCUCACAGUUUAGAUGGUGGGAGUUGGGUGAGGAGGAUAAGCAGAGGCCUGUGCAGCUAAGUGUGAUACGGUGUGAGGAGUAGCACAGAAGAGAGUAGUUAGGUUAGUUUUCAGCAGAGGAAACAGCAUGAGCAGAGAUCCAGGAACUUAGAGUUUAUGAAGCAGUGAGAGAUAAGAUAUGAAAAGUGGGUUCAGGCUCGGUCAUAAACGGCCUUGAAAGCUUGCAGGGAACUUUGGCAGUGUGAAGCCAUAGACGGUUGAAAACAGGGACAUCUCGUUAGAAUUGUGCUUUAGGAAGAACGAUAAACAUGGUUAGAAAGAGAAAAGCCUAGAGGCAGUUAGGAAGCUCCUACAGUAAUCCUAGAAAGGUUAGUACAGUGGGGAUGAGAGAUGACAUGAGGGGCAUUUGGGAUUCAAAUUGAACAAAUAUUAAUUGUGUACCAAUUUUGUACCCAAUCCUAUGUUAGGCUCUGGGUUAGAGAUACUAAGAAGAAUAUCAUAUAGCUCCUGCCCAGGAUCUAAUGGUGAUGCAGUAGGUACUGGAAAACAAACAAAAAAAAGCUAUUAAAAGAUGAUUUUGAGGUGGGUAGUCCCUAGUUGUCAGGUACUUGGCCCUGAGGUGAUUGAGGGCAGGAGCCUGAUUAAAGGAUUGGUUGGUCUGCAUGUCAAAGGCAUGCUGUCAGGCUGUUUGCCAUCUCUAGGAAUUAGCUAACCCUGGGAGGGGCAGGCCCUCCCUGGGUCCACAAUGCCCUAAGAUGUCAGUUUCAUAAAAUACAGAAAAUAGAAAAUAUGACUAAUGUACUACCUGGUAUCAUUAUCUCUUCUAUGUUUAUAGAACCCAUACUUUAUUGGGAGUGACUGUGCACAGUUCAAAUACCACAUUUGCUGUUCUUUGCAUUUGAGGGUUGCCAAAAGUCUAUAGGCAGAAGUCAUUGGUGGAGCUUCCAGGGAAGUUCCUUAGGUGAGCUGACCCUGUUGGGAAGCUCAUCCUUUGUGCUUCUCCAAACUUAUCCCCUAGCUGGUUUUUCUUUUCUGAAAUUGGACAUGAUGGCUGAAUCUCCAGUAGCCACCCUGGACCAUGUGGCAAUCUGCAGGAUGGAAGAUAGAAGAAGCUGGGAUCUGUGACCAUCAUGGAACCACUGUGCCAGUUCUGGAUAGUCUACCUCUGGACUGUUUUUGGGAGACACAAAUAAACCUCUACCUUGUUUAAGCCA
This is a long non-coding RNA of Galeopterus variegatus (Sunda flying lemur), 2443 nucleotides long. RefSeq lists it as uncharacterized. The record is from RefSeq and is a predicted model, not a curated record. The transcript is spliced from 2 exons. Lineage: Eukaryota; Metazoa; Chordata; Mammalia; Dermoptera; Cynocephalidae.